This 468-nucleotide ribosomal RNA is filed under the name uncultured bacterium. RNAcentral's name for it is "partial 16S ribosomal RNA". It matches the Rfam family "Bacterial small subunit ribosomal RNA", at positions 28 to 507 of the family's 1533-position model. The record is from RNAcentral.
GACGAACGCUGGCGGCGUGCUUAACACAUGCAAGUCGAACGGAAAGGCCCGGCUUUGGGGGGGUGCUCUAGUUGCGAACUGGUGAGUAACACGUGAGUAACCUGCCCUUGACUGUGGGAGAACUUCAUGAAACUGGGGCUAAUACCGGAUAGGAGCUCCUGCUGCAUGGUGGGGGUGGGAAAGUUUCGGCGGUUGGUGAUGGACUCGCGUCUUAUCAGAUUGUUGGUGGGGUAGUGGCUUACCAAGGCUUUGACGGGUAGCAGGCCUGAGAGGGUGACCGGACACACUGGGCCGGAGAUACGGCACAGCCUCCUACGGGAGGCAGCAGUGGGGAAUAUUGCAUAAUGGGCGGAAGCAUGAUGUAGUCAAGCCGCGUGCGGGAUGACGGGCUGGGGGUUGUAAACCGAUUUCGCCUGUGCCGAAGCGUGAGUGACGGUAAUGGGUAAAGAAGCACCGGCUAACUACGUG